Small RNA from Rahnella aquatilis, 164 nucleotides. It matches the Rfam family "Glm Y RNA activator of glmS mRNA". From Rfam's summary of the family: This family consists of a number of bacterial RNA genes of around 167 bases in length. The function of this RNA is unknown. The record is from Rfam. NCBI's taxonomy places the organism in Bacteria, Pseudomonadati, Pseudomonadota, Gammaproteobacteria, Enterobacterales, Yersiniaceae.
AGUUGCUCAUUCACCUGAUUAUGAUUGGCUCACGCGAAAGCGUUGAUAUGCUCAUAAUGUCCGAAUGACGCCAAAGAAACGGUGCCUAUCGUUCACCCGACCGAUAAUCGUUGCGUAAGCACGUUAUCAAGCAUCGAACGACACGUUGAGUGAGGCACCACCUC